Molecule: ribosomal RNA, 324 nt
Filed under: uncultured Acidobacteriota bacterium
Lineage: Bacteria; Pseudomonadati; Acidobacteriota
Description: bacterial SSU rRNA
Rfam family: Bacterial small subunit ribosomal RNA
Source: RNAcentral
UGGCUCAGAACGAACGCUGGCGGCGUGCCUAACACAUGCAAGUCGAACGAGAAAGUGGAGCAAUCCAUGAGUAAAGUGGCGUACGGGUGAGUAACACGUGGGUAAUCCACCCUUUAGUGGGGAAUAACCCUGGGAAACCGGGGCUAAUACCGCAUAAGCCUGAGAAGGGAAAGCAGCAAUGCGCUGAAGGAGGAGCCCGCGGCCGAUUAGCUAGUUGGUGAGGUAACGGCCCACCAAGGCGAUGAUCGGUAGCCGGCCUGAGAGGGCACACGGCCACACUGGCACUGAAACACGGGCCAGAGACCUACGGGAGGCAGCAGUGGG